Molecule: transfer RNA, 77 nt
Filed under: Paraclostridium bifermentans
Lineage: Bacteria; Bacillati; Bacillota; Clostridia; Peptostreptococcales; Peptostreptococcaceae
Description: tRNA-Val
Rfam family: tRNA
About the family: Transfer RNA (tRNA) molecules are approximately 80 nucleotides in length. Their secondary structure includes four short double-helical elements and three loops (D, anti-codon, and T loops).
Source: RNAcentral
GGGAUUAUAGCUCAGCUGGGAGAGCGACCUGCCUUACAAGCAGGGGGUCACAGGUUCGAGCCCUGUUAAUCCCACCA